UAGAGAAGAGAUUCAGUACUUCUCUGGUACAUGGGAAUCACAAAAUGGGAAAUGAGAAGCUAUCACUGGUCAUAUUUCUUGUUCCAUGGAGAAAGCAAGUCUUCAGUGAAAGAGAAUGAAGCCAACUCUCUGAGAAGAACAGAGAGUGACGCAUCAACAGAGGACAUCAGAAAAGGACAAUCGUGCCCAGGGAUGGCUCAGGAAUUAGCUCUCUCAGCAUUGCACGUGAAGUGGUUCAGCAGGAAAGCUGUUGAGUUGCUGCUGCUGCUGAAGAAGGGACUCAGAUACUAAGAAAGAGAACAAAUCUGAAAUAGCAGAAAAGAUACAGCUGCUCUGGCCUAAAUGCGGAAUCCUUUAAUACUAUCUUCUGGAUGGUAUACAUGUGUGUUUACUCAAGUCUCAGAUUUAAUUGGAUUUAAAUAAGAAUCUGAACACAAUCACCCAGAAGGCCUGACGUACAUGAGAGAGGAGUGAGAGGUCGGCGAAGACACAUCCUGUCUGUUCCUGGGGAAAGCAGAUUCAAGCCUUCCGCACCUGCAUCUUCUGCCCCUGCUGGUAAAAAGCUCCUCCUUAUCCUACUAAGCAACAAAUAUGCAUUUGGAAAGUCUACAUUCAGCCGCCCCCACCUUUACCCCCACCCCAAAAAAGAUCAACCAAAUGCUGUAGUUUGGAUUUAUUUCCUUUGUUAUCUAUAUCAAGCAUGAUAAAAUGCUUUGUUCUAUUUUUGGCUCUCAUGAAGAGCUGCUUCACUUUCAGUAUAACUGUAAAGCUAAAAUGUGGUUGGGACUCGUGCCAUCACUUUGCAGGUUGAGGCUGGCACGCACACUCAUGGAGCCUGAUUCUUUCCCUUCUAAUUACAGCUCCCUGCCUGCCUGCUCUUUGAGGAGGCUCUUAGAAGGCAAAGGGUGACCCAGGCAUUAUGGCCUCACGGUCUGAGUAUAAAGGCUUCAUAUGCUCAUGGUUAACUAGGUCUCUUUUAAUCCUGGAAGUAAAUUACAUUUUUUGAAAGAACAUAAUAGAACUCUUAAUUAAAAUAUUAGCCUCUAAUUCUAAAAAGAGUCCAAUCAUUGUCAAAAGAAUGAAAAUGAACUGUACGUGGCAACAGAGAAGUUGAGGAACCAUCCCAGAAAUGAAGACUAAACGAUUAAAUACAUCGUGCUCAGGCAAGAGAUAUACAAUAUACCUUAAGAAACAUAGUAUCCCAUAGGUAAACAAGAUGAGACUCAUCUGACUGAGAGUAUUUAUAUAUCUACAGAAAUAAUGGGUUAAUAAGUCUGUUGAUAGCGGAGCAUAAACAUGGCAGUCACUGGGGCAAAUAUUGGCUGUGCCCAUUAGGAACUGUCCACCACGGAAUGUGUCUUUUCAGUCUCGUCCAUAUUUAUUUGUAGAGGAGAAUGAACCCAGUUAUCACAACCUGAUGCCUCUAAACAUUUGAAUCAUACAAUUAACUCCUUUGCUCUGAUUCCAUGCCUACCCAGCAACUCUCUGAUUAUAACUUGGCUCUCCGUGUAAUUCGUCCAUGGGGGAGAUACCAAUGCUUGGCUGCCAUGGCCAUUAUUGUUUCUCAUUGAAAAUUAACAGUUGUUAAUUUUCUCUAACAGUGUUAGAGAUUUGAGCCUCCUGGGGCUCAGUCUGCAUGAAUUAGCCUCCACUGAUUGUCAGGGUCUGAGAAGAUGGGGUGUCUGGAGGCGCCAUGCUGAUGGCAAGAAGAGAAUUCACUCAAGUAGUGGCUCUUCAUGCAACCAGCAGUUUACCAUGGCAACGCCUUGACUGCCACAGGAGGCUUUCUUGUGACUUUUUACUCUCUUUCCGCCCUCUAGGCUUCAAUCCCUUUCCCCUGAUCUGCCCAUCUAACCAGCCAGCAAAUCCUAGGGACUCUGCUGUGGCCACGCCUCCUACUUCGUUUCCAGGAUUUGUGUCUUCACUUCUCUGUCUAGACUAGCACUUCCCAAAAGCCAGUGCAGAAACUGGCUGCAUCACAAUGACUAGUCUGUGAAGAGUAAACACAUGAACGCCAGGGCCCCACUCCAGAUUUCCUUAUCAGAAUGUGCCGGGGUGGUGUCCAGGAAGCUGCUUCAUAAACUCCCUGGGUAAUUCUGAGAAGCAGCCAUAUUUCAGAAUCACUAUCUAGAUGAAUGGUUCUCCAACUUGGUUACAAAGUAGAACUGGUCUUAGAAAAUAGCAAUGACUAGGCUUUUCCUAGACUCUUUCAGAGGUGGAGAUUGAGCACAGUUACUUAAAAAACUCCCUCCAGGUGAGUCUAAUGUAUCUUGAAGGCUGAGAACCAUUGGCUCAGACCUGUGAUCCUCCAAGUGUGGUACCAAGUCGAGCAGCAACAACAGCACCCUGGGAACUUGUUAGAAAUCUAGAUUCUCAGAUCCUGCCCUAGACCCACUAAACCAGAAACUCUGGGGACCAGCCAGUAAUCUAUGGUUUAACAAGCCCUCUGGGUGAUUUUGAUGUGCCAUUGGCUUAAACUGCUUCCCAAAGCCUCCUAAUUAACUUCCUGUGAGCAGUCUUUCUGUUCCUCAAGCCAUCCUCCACAAUAACAAUAUUUCUACCUUGUCACCCUUUGCUCCACACUGCCUACCGAAUCCUUACCCUGGCAUUCAUGGCAUUCUCCAGUCCAGCCCUCCAGUCCAGGUUUGUGUUUCACCAAUGGCCUAGGAGAAACCAGACUGCUCGCUGAUUCCCAGACACUGGGUUUUCCCAUUUGGCUAAUGCUGAUUCUUUUGUAAAAAUCCUAGAGAACAGGGACCACGUUCUCAAACACCAUAGUCUGUAACACAGCGUUGUUCACAGACUUGCCCAUCAACACAGAUUUGCAGAGUGAGUGAGUGAUUUUGUGCUAAUCUUGAACUCUCCUCUACUUUAUCACAGGUUCUCUAUUCAACCUGAAGAACAACUCACCCUAAACCCUUUUGUUUGUUUUUCAGCAUUAAAGCCCAUCAGGGUGUGCAUAGUAUUCUCAGUUUCCACGCUAAACCAAACCAUCAGUUCAGUGCACUGAGAGCCCCGUGGGGCUGGGUGACUGAAAGGGGGGCUCCUGGGGAUGGAUGAUGUUUUAUUUCUUGAUGUGGUGCUGGUUACAUGUGUUCCCUCUGUGAGAAUUCAUUAAAGUAAACACCAAUGAUUUGUGCAUUUUUCUGCACGUAUGUUUUA
Molecule: long non-coding RNA, 3162 nt
Organism: Diceros bicornis minor
Lineage: Eukaryota; Metazoa; Chordata; Mammalia; Perissodactyla; Rhinocerotidae
Exons: 4
Source: RefSeq, a predicted model, not a curated record